CAAUUUUUUGAAGGUAAGCACCCAUCCAAUUUUUGGAUCAUGGAUGUAUGACAAAUCAAUCCAUAUAUUCCAAAGAAAGGGAAGGGAAAGGAUAAAGUGGUUACAAAGUACAUCCACGUGAACUGAAUCUGAAGCCAAGGUGUAAACCUUGCCAUGUUCCAUAGUAGCCGGACGUAGGCUCAAGCCUCAGGAGGAUCACCGGGCAUGCGUACUGUCUGCAGAUCAACAUGCAUGCAAUAUACGUAAGAGAGAGGUUAGUUACAUCAGGUGCAUAAUGUAUUAGACCCCCAACAGCCGUCAGGAUCUCCAAAACAGCAAGGCGAGGUCUCAGGGAUUCGGGCAAGAAGACACAUACGCUGACCAAGCAAAGGUUGAGAGAGAGAGUAGGGGUUGAAGACACAUCUCGGCCGUGCUGCCUCACUUGGGACAAUGCCAUCCCAUUACAUAAGCAAACUUUACCAAAACCUACUCUUGUGGGCAAUGGUGCAAGUACAUUAUGAAGAAAAAUAGCUCUGAAGCUGGAUGAUGGAUUGCCCAGCCAAUGCUUUUUUGCCAUGGAUCAGAUGGUAUAUACCCACAAUCCGGAAGCAUGUUUAUUACUUCCUAACAUUGGCUGGAUGCACCCACAAUCCGGAAGCAUGUUGAUUACUUCCUAACAUUGGCUGGAUGCACACGUACUGACGUACAAGAGGACUUGAUGGAAUCUUACCGGAUGGAAAAACGCCCACAAGCAAAACAUGCACGAUUUCAUCAUGAAGGAAUUAAAUCUAGCUUGCUUCGUCGUCUUGCUGGUAGUACUACAUAUGCUUGUGGGCCGGUGCCAAAAGAGGUUGCAGGUUCGCGCUUAUCCGCGGGUCAGGUUGACAUUCUAGGGUACAAAAUAAAGGCCAUAGAGCACACUCACUUGAUCAGUGUAUUCAGCAAGAUACUCCUAGAGUCCCAAUACGCUGGACUACAGGAGAAGUGCCAACCAUUGGUACCACAAGACAAUGGGUACGAUAACAAGCAAGAAUCGGCUGUGAAGCAAGCAACAACAUGGUGGAGAAACGAGCUCCUGGAUUUUCUGGCCAAGCACAUCAACUAACUCACCAUCAUAGUUCAUCAACCUAACGCAAACCCUCAAUUUCUUAACGUUUGUUAUGUAUUUUUCUAGCAUUAGAUCGAAACAGUGGUCUUGGGGAACUAUUGUAAAAGAAACUUUUGUUCUGUUAGAUACUACUUAAUG
Molecule: RNA transcript, 1225 nt
Organism: Triticum aestivum (bread wheat)
Lineage: Eukaryota; Viridiplantae; Streptophyta; Magnoliopsida; Poales; Poaceae
Exons: 6
Source: RefSeq, a predicted model, not a curated record